RNAcentral lists this ribosomal RNA (416 nucleotides) under uncultured bacterium. RNAcentral's name for it is "bacterial SSU rRNA". It matches the Rfam family "Bacterial small subunit ribosomal RNA", at positions 500 to 916 of the family's 1533-position model. The record is from RNAcentral.
CCUACGGGAGGCAGCAGCCGCGGUAAUACGGAGGGUGCAAGCGUUAUCCGGAUUCACUGGGUUUAAAGGGUGCGUAGGCGGGUAGGUAAGUCAGUGGUGAAAUCCUGGAGCUCAACUCCAGAACUGCCAUUGAUACUAUCUAUCUUGAAUAUUGUGGAGGUAAGCGGAAUAUGUCAUGUAGCGGUGAAAUGCUUAGAUAUGACAUAGAACACCCAUUGCGAAGGCAGCUUACUACGCAUAUAUUGACGCUGAGGCACGAAAGCGUGGGGAUCAAACAGGAUUAGAUACCCUGGUAGUCCACGCCCUAAACUAUGGAUACUCGACAUAUGCGAUACACUGUAUGUGUCUGAGCGAAAGCAUUAAGUAUCCCACCUGGGAAGUACGUUCGCAAGAAUGAAACUCAAAUGAAUUGACGG